GACGAACGCUGGCGGCGUGCCUAAUACAUGCAAGUAGAACGCUGAAGCGAGGAGCUUGCUCUUCUUGGAUGAGUUGCGAACGGGUGAGUAACGCGUAGGUAACCUGCCUUGUAGCGGGGGAUAACUAUUGGAAACGAUAGCUAAUACCGCAUAACAAUAGGUGACACAUGUCAUUUAUUUGAAAGGGGCAAUUGCUCCACUACAAGAUGGACCUGCGUUGUAUUAGCUAGUAGGUGAGGUAACGGCUCACCUAGGCGACGAUACAUAGCCGACCUGAGAGGGUGAUCGGCCACACUGGGACGGAGACACGGCCCAGACUCCUACGGGAGGCAGCAGGAGGGAAUCUUCGGCAAGGGGGGCAACCCUGACCGAGAAACGCCGCGGGAGGGAAGAAGGGUGUCGGAUCGUAAAGCUCGGUUGUAAGUCAAGAACGAGUGUGAGAGUGGAAAGUUCACACUGUGACGGUAGCUUACCAGAAAGGGACGGCUAACUACGUG
Molecule: ribosomal RNA, 497 nt
Filed under: uncultured bacterium
Lineage: Bacteria
Description: partial 16S ribosomal RNA
Rfam family: Bacterial small subunit ribosomal RNA
Source: RNAcentral